ACCUGGCUGGCUCAGUCGGUGGAGCAUGUGACUCUUGAUCUCAGGGUUGUGGGUUCAAGCCCCACACUGGGUG
RNAcentral lists this transfer RNA (73 nucleotides) under Mustela putorius furo (domestic ferret). Its description in RNAcentral is "tRNA-Lys (CTT) (tRNA-Lys-CTT-9-1)". It matches the Rfam family "tRNA". Rfam says of the family: Transfer RNA (tRNA) molecules are approximately 80 nucleotides in length. Their secondary structure includes four short double-helical elements and three loops (D, anti-codon, and T loops). Further hydrogen bonds mediate the characteristic L-shaped molecular structure. tRNAs have two regions of fundamental functional importance: the anti-codon, which is responsible for specific mRNA codon recognition, and the 3' end, to which the tRNAs corresponding amino acid is attached (by aminoacyl-tRNA synthetases). tRNAs cope with the degeneracy of the genetic code in two manners: having more than one tRNA (with a specific anti-codon) for a particular amino acid; and 'wobble' base-pairing, i.e. permitting non-standard base-pairing at the 3rd anti-codon position. RNAcentral also lists the same sequence under 1 other name. Lineage: Eukaryota; Metazoa; Chordata; Mammalia; Carnivora; Mustelidae. The record is from Rfam by way of RNAcentral.